This 250-nucleotide ribosomal RNA is filed under the name uncultured bacterium. Its description in RNAcentral is "partial 16S ribosomal RNA". It matches the Rfam family "Bacterial small subunit ribosomal RNA", at positions 524 to 773 of the family's 1533-position model. The record is from RNAcentral.
UACGGGGGGUGCGAGCGUUGUUCGGAAUUAUUGGGCGUAAAGCGCGUGCAGGCGGUCUUGUAAGUCUGAUGUGAAAGCCCCGGGCUCAACCCGGGAAGUGCACUGGAUACUGCAAGACUUGAGUUCGGGAGAGGAGAGUGGAAUUCCUGGAGUAGGGGUGAAAUCCGUAGAUAUCAGGAAGAACACCGGUGGCGAAGGCGGCUCUCUGGACCGAUACUGACGCUGAGAUGCGAAAGCGUGGGUAGCAAAC